AGUAAAAUAAGCUAAUUAAGCUUUUGGGCCCAUACCCCAAGAAUGUCGGGUAAAACCUUCUUUUACUG
Molecule: transfer RNA, 68 nt
Filed under: Assurger anzac (razorback scabbardfish)
Lineage: Eukaryota; Metazoa; Chordata; Actinopteri; Scombriformes; Trichiuridae
Also listed under: 1 other name
Description: tRNA-Met
Source: RNAcentral